UACAGAGGGGGCAAGCGUUGUUCGGAAUUACUGGGCGGAAAGGGCGCGUAGGCGGCCAACUAAGUCGAACGUGAAAUCCCCGGGCUCAACCCGGGAACUGCGUCCGAUACUGGUUGGCUUGAAUCCGGGAGAGGGAUGCGGAAUUCCAGGUGUAGCGGUGAAAUGCGUAGAUAUCUGGAGGAACACCGGUGGCGAAGGCGGCAUCCUGGACCGGCAUUGACGCUGAGGCGCGAAAGCCAGGGGAGCAAACGGG
Molecule: ribosomal RNA, 253 nt
Filed under: uncultured bacterium
Lineage: Bacteria
Description: partial 16S ribosomal RNA
Rfam family: Bacterial small subunit ribosomal RNA
Source: RNAcentral